This 1622-nucleotide long non-coding RNA is filed under the name Homo sapiens (human). RNAcentral's name for it is "non-protein coding lnc-TRUB2-7:1". The record is from RNAcentral. Lineage: Eukaryota; Metazoa; Chordata; Mammalia; Primates; Hominidae.
GUGGCUCACACCUGUAAUCCCAGCACUUUGGGAGGCCGAGGCGGGCGGAUCACCAGGUCAGGAGAUCGAGACCAUCCUGGCUAACAUGGUGAAACCCCGUCUCUUCUAAAAAUACAAAAAAUUAGCCGGGCGUGGUGGCAGGCACCUGUAGUCCCAGCUACUUGGGAGGCUGAGGCAGGAGAAUGGCGUGAACCCGGGAGGCGGAGCUUGCAGUCAGCCAAGAUCGCGCCACUGCAUUCCAGCCUGGGCAACAGAGCGAGACUACGUCUCAAAAACAACAACAAAACAAACAAAAAAAAACAUACACAAAUUAGCCAGGUGUUGUGGUGCCUGCCUGUAAUCCCAGCUACUUGGGAGGCUGAGGUGGGAGAAUUGCUUGAACCCAGGAGGUGGGGGUUGCAGCGCGCUGAGACUGCACCACGGCACUUCAGCCUGGGAGACAGAGCGAGACUCCAUCUCAAAAAAAAAAAAAAGAAAAGAAAAAAAAAAGAAAAUUUGUGGGUUUUCAUGUCAGACAAACUCCACAGGAAAUAAAUAAUAACUUGUGAUAUUUUAAUAAACUUCCAGGCAAGGUCUUUGAGACUGAAUCUUUGAGAAGCUUCUUCUGAGAGCACCAUGUGCCCUCCCAAGGCUGCAUGGCCAUCUGUCAAACUAAGAAACAGUCACCUUUAGCACCCCAUGUCUUCCUCGACCAGGGACACACAAUCCUGACAUGAAACCCCAGCCACAUAUCCCCUCCCAGCUCAAUGUGGGCAGUGACCUGCUCCUCAGUAAGUGUCCCCCCCCCAGCCUCCACGUGUGGCAGACAGACCCCACCCUGUGCCACUGCUCUCCAACCUGAGGGAGGGACAGAGAGGUGCGGCAGCCAGUGAAUCUGAGCAAUAAUAAUUGAUUCCUGGCAGAUGUGUGUCCAGUUCCAGAAGAAUCCUGCCAAAUCUCACUUGUGGCACCCAGGCUGAAGAACAGUGUGUGAUCAUAUGCCUGGCUAAUUUUUUAUUUUGCCAUGUUACCCAGGCUGGUCUCAAACUCCUGGGCUCAGGUAAUCCUCCUACCUCAGACUCCCAAAGUGUUAGGAUUACAGGCAUGAGCCACUGUGCCUGGUUUAUUUUAUUUUAUUUUAUUUUAUUUUUUUUUGAGAUGGAGUCUCGCUCUGUUGCCCAGGCUGGAGUGCAGUGGCAUGAUUCGGCUCACUGCAACCUCCGCCCCUUUAGGUUUAAGCAAUUCUCGUGCCUCAGCCUCCAGAGUAGCCGGGAUUACAGGCGCAUGCCACCACGCCCAGCUAAUUUUUUUGUAUUUUUAGUAGAGACGGGGUUUCACCAUCUUGGCCAGGCUAGUGUUGAACUCCUGACCUCGUGAUCCACCCGCCUUGGCCUCCCAAAGUGCUGGGAUUACAGGCGUGAGCCACCGUGCCCAGCCAACACCUGGCCUAUUUUCUUAUUUCUUUUUCUUUUUUUGAGACGGAGUCUUGCUCUUGUUGCCCAGGCUGGAGUGCAAUGGUGCGAUCUUGGUUCACUGCAACCUCUGCCUCUCAGGUUCAAGCAAUUCUCCUGCUUCAGCCUCCCAAGUAGCUGGGAUUACAGAUGCCUGCCACUGCGCCAGCUAAUUUUUGUACUGUUAGUAGA